GGUCCAAACUGAGUCCUGCCACCGCCUCCCCAUUAACCUGUAGGAUUUCAUCACCAACGCCCAGCAGGCCCCUCCACCCUGCCAUCACCGACCUUCUCGACGUAUACACCUGGUCUGCAGUGAGGGUGUCCUCUGUAUUCGAAUGGUAGGCUGCGGUCUCCGUGUGGGGCUCGGUGAGGCAGAGCUUGCCCGUUGGAUGGUGGGGAGACUGAGCUGUUCCAUGCUGCUGGAGCGACCCCCCUUCACCAGUCUGCCAACGCUAUUCAGCCCGAUGGAGGAAAAGAAACGACGCAGGAAAAGUUUUGGCCUCCCAUCAAAUUUUCUAUCUGCUCCAGAAGAUCAGAAGUUCCUUCACUGUUAGCAUGCUGUCUGCACUGAGAUACAUGCAUUUAAAGGAAAGAACAUAUAUGCUUAUGUAUGCUGAAGUAAACUACAGCCAAAAAAAAUAACUUUGUAUUCUCAUAGAUGUAGGAUGUAUAUAUGAAGAAAUAUACUCCAAAUUGUUGUUCAGAAAACUGAAAAAAAAAAUAAAGAAAAUAGUAACCUGCAGUGCA
Molecule: long non-coding RNA, 554 nt
Organism: Xiphophorus hellerii (green swordtail)
Lineage: Eukaryota; Metazoa; Chordata; Actinopteri; Cyprinodontiformes; Poeciliidae
Exons: 3
Source: RefSeq, a predicted model, not a curated record